CCUACGGGUGGCAGCAGUGGGGAAUAUUGCACAAUGGGGGAAACCCUGAUGCAGCGACGCCGCGUGAGUGAAGAAGUAUUUCAGUACUUAAAGCUCUAUCAGCCAGGAAGAAAAUGACGGUACCUGACUAAGAAGCCCCGUCUAACUACGUGCCAGCAGCCGCGGGAAUGCGUAGGGGGCAAGCGUUAUGCGGAUUUACUGGGUGUAAAGGGAGCGUAGACGGCAUCGCAAGUCUGGAGUGAAAGACCAUGGCUUAACCAUGGAACUGCGUUGGAAACUGGGCAGCUGGAGUGCAGGAGAGGUAAGCGGAAUUCCUAGUGUAGCGGUGAAAUGCGUAGAUAUUAGGAGGAACACCAGUGGCGAAGGCGGCUUACUGGACUGUAACUGACGUUGAGGCUCGAAAGCGUGGGGAGCAAACAGGAUUAGAUACCCGUGUAGUC
Molecule: ribosomal RNA, 440 nt
Filed under: uncultured bacterium
Lineage: Bacteria
Description: partial 16S ribosomal RNA
Rfam family: Bacterial small subunit ribosomal RNA
Source: RNAcentral